RNAcentral lists this ribosomal RNA (253 nucleotides) under uncultured bacterium. Its description in RNAcentral is "partial 16S ribosomal RNA". It matches the Rfam family "Bacterial small subunit ribosomal RNA", at positions 524 to 776 of the family's 1533-position model. The record is from RNAcentral.
GACAGAGGGUGCAAACGUUGUUCGGAAUCACUGGGCUUAAAGGGCGCGUAGGCGGUCCGACAAGUCAGGGGUGAAAUCCUGCAGCUUAACUGCAGAAGUGCCUUUGAUACUGUCGGUCUUGAGGGAGAUAGGGGUGUGCGGAACUCACAGUGGAGCGGUGAAAUGCGUUGAUAUUGUGAGGAACGCCGGAGGCGAAAGCGGCGCACUGGAUCUCUUCUGACGCUGAGGCGCGAAAGCUAGGGGAGCAAACGGG